GCCCACCAGAUAGCUCAGUCAGCAGAGCAUGAGGUUCGUAAGCUCAGGGUUGUGGGUUCGAGUCCCACUUGGGGCA
Non-coding RNA from Podarcis lilfordi (Lilford's wall lizard), 76 nucleotides. The record is from the annotation of a GenBank genome assembly. Lineage: Eukaryota; Metazoa; Chordata; Lepidosauria; Squamata; Lacertidae.